Molecule: ribosomal RNA, 301 nt
Filed under: uncultured bacterium
Lineage: Bacteria
Description: partial 16S ribosomal RNA
Rfam family: Bacterial small subunit ribosomal RNA
Source: RNAcentral
CAGCCGCCGCGGGAAUACGUAGGGUGCGAGCGUUAAUCGGAAUUACUGGGCGUAAAGCGUGCGCAGGCGGUUCGUUAAGACAGAUGUGAAAUCCCCGGGCUUAACCUGGGAACUGCAUCUGUGACUGGCGGGCUAGAGUAUGGCAGAGGGGGGUAGAAUUCCACGUGUAGCAGUGAAAUGCGUAGAGAUGUGGAGGAAUACCGGUGGCGAAGGCAGCCCCCUGGGCCAAUACUGACGCUUAUGCACGAAAGCGUGGGGAGCAAACAGGAUUAGAUACCCCCGUAGUCCCUGUCUCUUAUAA